RNAcentral lists this RNase P RNA (403 nucleotides) under Cribrihabitans marinus. Its description in RNAcentral is "Bacterial RNase P class A". It matches the Rfam family "Bacterial RNase P class A". From Rfam's summary of the family: Ribonuclease P (RNase P) is a ubiquitous endoribonuclease, found in archaea, bacteria and eukarya as well as chloroplasts and mitochondria. Its best characterised activity is the generation of mature 5'-ends of tRNAs by cleaving the 5'-leader elements of precursor-tRNAs. Lineage: Bacteria; Pseudomonadati; Pseudomonadota; Alphaproteobacteria; Rhodobacterales; Paracoccaceae. The record is from Rfam by way of RNAcentral.
GCGGAGGGCCGGAUGGCCGCGGCAGCGAUGCCGAGGAAAGUCCGGACUCCACAAGGCAACGGUGCCGGGUAACGCCCGGGCGGGGAAACCCGACGGAAAGCGCCACAGAAAACAGACUACCGCCGCUUGCGGCGGAAAAGGUGAAACGGUGGGGUAAGAGCCCACCGCGUCCCCGGCAACGGGGGCGGCCUGGCAAGCCCCACCGGGAGCAAUGCCGAAUAGGGUCCCCGCGCGGGCCGGUCCCGGGUCUGACCCGGGAUACCGCCGCUAGGUGCGUCUUGGCCGAGAGGGACCGGGUUGGCAGCUUGAGCCGCGGAGCGAUCCGCGGCCCAGAGGAAUGGUCGUCGAACCCCGGAUCACGGUCCGGGGGGAACAGAAUCCGGCUUACAGGCCCUCCGCGCGU